This 71-nucleotide transfer RNA is filed under the name Loxodonta africana (African savanna elephant). It matches the Rfam family "tRNA". Rfam says of the family: Transfer RNA (tRNA) molecules are approximately 80 nucleotides in length. The record is from Rfam by way of RNAcentral. Lineage: Eukaryota; Metazoa; Chordata; Mammalia; Proboscidea; Elephantidae.
GCACUGGUGGUUCAGUGGUAGAAUUCUCAUCUUCCAUGCAGGAGACCUGGGUUCGAUUCUCAGCCAGUGCA